This 74-nucleotide transfer RNA is filed under the name Gemmatimonadota bacterium. Its description in RNAcentral is "Gemmatimonadetes bacterium (soil metagenome) tRNA-Ile". It matches the Rfam family "tRNA". From Rfam's summary of the family: Transfer RNA (tRNA) molecules are approximately 80 nucleotides in length. RNAcentral also lists the same sequence under 1 other name. Lineage: Bacteria; Pseudomonadati; Gemmatimonadota. The record is from RNAcentral.
GGGCCUGUAGCUCAGGUGGUUAGAGCGCACGCCUGAUAAGCGUGAGGUCGGAGGUUCGACUCCUCCCAGGCCCA